Molecule: long non-coding RNA, 559 nt
Organism: Mus musculus (house mouse)
Lineage: Eukaryota; Metazoa; Chordata; Mammalia; Rodentia; Muridae
Product: predicted gene, 34938
Exons: 2
Source: RefSeq, marked validated
AGUCUUCUCUUGGUUGCCUUAGGAUCUGGGUGUAGACCUCUCAGCUCUUUCUCUAGUACCAUGUCUGCCUGGAUGCUGCCAUGCUUCCCACCAUGAUGAUAACGGACGGAACUUUUCAAACUGGAACUGGAGACUCUGAAAUCACACUGCUCUGAAAAGGCAUCCGACCGACAUCCGUCACCUAUUUCACAGGUGGCAAGGAGGCCGUGCUGUGUGAAAAGGAUUAAUAAUCAACUGGGCUUGGAGGAGAAAUGGAAGAAGACAGCGAUGCACCUCGAGGCCCACACACUUGCAUCCAGCUAUGUCAUCAAGUGCGUGGCUUAACUCUGGCUGGCUCCAGAAGACUCCCCGAAGGAUCAUGUAGAAUUUUUUUUAGCAUAUUUUAAAUUAUACAUCGAGUUCUCCCCAAAGAACAGUUCCGUUAAUUGCUAGUGUUAAAAGCUAGAAUCGCAGUGCUUUUCUUACAUCACAGAGCUUGUCUCAACACAAGUAUCUUCUUUACAUAAUCUCAUAUUAAGGAAUAAUUUUAAAAACAAUAAACCUGAAAUAUCUCCAAGGA